AAACUGCCCCAGCAAGAACAGCACAGAUUUUACCUCAUCUCUAAAAGUCAAUAUUUGCUUCUAUUACAAGACACCCGAGGUAUUCAACCAGUGUUUUCAACAGUGCAUAUUCAUGAUUGAUGAUCCGGAGCAUUUGGGAGUUCCAUGCCGCUUGGUGUAUGUUGCUAAACUCUCAUUCUGCCAGAACACAGGGACAUAAGGUCUGGUGUCUUAAAAUAGCAAGUUCCUCAAGUUCUAUUCCCAGAUGAUGAUUUGAUUGGUGGCUUUGUCCCAGCAUCUGCCAAUGCCAGUCUACAAAGGACAAGCGAUCAUUGUUUUAAG
This is a long non-coding RNA of Stegostoma tigrinum, 321 nucleotides long. RefSeq lists it as uncharacterized. The transcript has 3 exons. The record is from RefSeq and is a predicted model, not a curated record. Lineage: Eukaryota; Metazoa; Chordata; Chondrichthyes; Orectolobiformes; Stegostomatidae.